Non-coding RNA from Triticum aestivum (bread wheat), 135 nucleotides. The record is from Rfam. NCBI's taxonomy places the organism in Eukaryota, Viridiplantae, Streptophyta, Magnoliopsida, Poales, Poaceae.
UAUGUAUUCCCUCCGUCCGAAAAUACUUGUCAUCAAAGUGGAUAAAAAGGAAUGUAUUUAGAACUAAUAUACAUCUAGAUACAUCCCCUUUAAUUCAUUUUGAGGACAAGUAUUUCUGGGCGGAGGGAGUAAUUU